GACGAACGCUGGCGGCGUGCUUAACACAUGCAAGUGGAGCGACGAACCGGGGCUUGCCCCGGGGCAGAGCCGCGAACGGGUGAGUAACACGUGGGUAACCUGCCUCAAUGAUUGGGACAACCCGGGGAAACUCGGGCUAAUACCAAAUGUGUUCACUCCUUCCAAAGGGGGAGUGAGGAAAAGGGAAGCUUCGGCCUCCGCAUUGAGAUGGGCCCGCGGCCCAUUAGCUUGUGGUGAGGUAACGGCUCACCAAGGCUUCGAUGGGUAGCUGGUCUGAGAGGACGAUCAGCCACACUGGGACUGAGACACGGCCCAGACUCCUACGGGAGGCAGCAGUGGGAAUCUUGCACAAUGCGCGAAAGCGUGAUGCAGCAACGCCGC
RNAcentral lists this ribosomal RNA (381 nucleotides) under uncultured bacterium. RNAcentral describes it as "bacterial SSU rRNA". It matches the Rfam family "Bacterial small subunit ribosomal RNA", at positions 28 to 400 of the family's 1533-position model. The record is from RNAcentral.